RNAcentral lists this ribosomal RNA (290 nucleotides) under uncultured soil bacterium. Its description in RNAcentral is "partial 16S ribosomal RNA". It matches the Rfam family "Bacterial small subunit ribosomal RNA", at positions 26 to 322 of the family's 1533-position model. The record is from RNAcentral.
AGAUUGAACGCUGGCGGCAUGCCUUACACAUGCAAGUCGAACGGUAGAGUAGCAAUACUCGAGGGUGGCGAACGGGUGAGUAAUAUAUCGGAACGUGCCCAGUCGUGGGGGAUAACGUAGAGAAAUUUACGCUAAUACCGCAUACGAUCUACGGAUGAAAGCGGGGGAUUCGCAAGAACCUCGCGCGAUUGGAGCGGCUGAUAUCAGAUUAGGUGUUGGUGAGGUAAAAGCUCACCAAGCCGACGAUCUGUAGCGUGGUUUGAGAGAACGACCAGCCACACUGGGACUGA